Molecule: ribosomal RNA, 844 nt
Filed under: uncultured Fusobacterium sp.
Lineage: Bacteria; Fusobacteriati; Fusobacteriota; Fusobacteriia; Fusobacteriales; Fusobacteriaceae
Description: bacterial SSU rRNA
Rfam family: Bacterial small subunit ribosomal RNA
Source: RNAcentral
GAACGCUGACAGAAUGUUAACACAUGCAAGUCAACUUGAAUUUGGGUUUUAACUUAGGUUUGGGUGGCGGACGGGUGAGUAACGCGUAAAGAACUUGCCUCACAGCUAGGGACAACAUUUGGAAACGAAUGCUAAUACCUAAUAUUAUGAUAAUAGGGCAUCCUAUAAUUAUGAAAGCUAUAAGCGCUGUGAGAGAGCUUUGCGUCCCAUUAGCUAGUUGGAGAGGUAACGGCUCACCAAGGCGAUGAUGGGUAGCCGGCCUGAGAGGGUGAUCGGCCACAAGGGGACUGAGACACGGCCCUUACUCCUACGGGAGGCAGCAGUGGGGAAUAUUGGACAAUGGACCAAGAGUCUGAUCCAGCAAUUCUGUGUGCACGAUGAAGUUUUUCGGAAUGUAAAGUGCUUUCAGUUGGGAAGAAAGAAAUGACGGUACCAACAGAAGAAGUGACGGCUAAAUACGUGCCAGCAGCCGCGGUAAUACGUAUGUCACGAGCGUUAUCCGGAUUUAUUGGGCGUAAAGCGCGUCUAGGUGGUUAUGUAAGUCUGAUGUGAAAAUGCAGGGCUCAACUCUGUAUUGCGUUGGAAACUGUAUAACUAGAGUACUGGAGAGGUAAGCGGAACUACAAGUGUAGAGGUGAAAUUCGUAGAUAUUUGUAGGAAUGCCGAUGGGGAAGCCAGCUUACUGGACAGAUACUGACGCUGAAGCGCGAAAGCGUGGGUAGCAAACAGGAUUAGAUACCCUGGUAGUCCACGCCGUAAACGAUGAUUACUAGGUGUUGGGGGUCGAACCUCAGCGCCCAAGCAAACGCGAUAAGUAAUUCGCCUGGAGUACGUACGCAAGUAU